AUACAUGGCCGACGCGGGUCAAAGUGCUGUACCUGUAAUUAUCAGCUGAAUAUAUCAUACAGGUUGUAUUCGGACCCAAUGUAUUAAUUUUAUUUUUGCGAGUUGGUGGCGUUCUUGAAGCCUGCUUCACCUCCACCACGGGUCGGCCCGGUAUUGUACUAUCUUAGGGAUCGGCCCAGGUUUU
Dermacentor silvarum is the source of this 184-nucleotide small nuclear RNA. RefSeq annotates it as U2 spliceosomal RNA. The record is from RefSeq and is a predicted model, not a curated record. The transcript has a single exon. Lineage: Eukaryota; Metazoa; Arthropoda; Arachnida; Ixodida; Ixodidae.